This 254-nucleotide ribosomal RNA is filed under the name uncultured bacterium. Its description in RNAcentral is "partial 16S ribosomal RNA". It matches the Rfam family "Bacterial small subunit ribosomal RNA", at positions 28 to 285 of the family's 1533-position model. The record is from RNAcentral.
GAUGAACGCUAGCGGCAGGCCUAACACAUGCAAGUCGAGGGGUAGAGUUCUUCGGGACUUGAGACCGGCGCACGGGUGCGUAACGCGUAUGCAAUCUACCUUAUACAGGGGAAUAGCCCCAGAGAAAUUUGGAUUAAUGCCCCAUAGUGUUAUCGAAUCGCAUGGUUUGAUAACUAAAGUUCCAACGGUAUAAGAUGAGCAUGCGUCCAUUAGUUAGUUGGUAAGGUAACGGCUUACCAAGACAAUGAUGGGUA